GAUGCAGGUGUUGCUUGUUUAUUAAAACCUGUAGCCCCCCACCCUCCCCACCCCUCAGUGAGCUGUCAGCUGUUUAAUCCUCUCAUGUCUGCAGAUCAGCUGAAAGUGAAAUAUUGUAAUAAAACAAGUGUGUAGUUUGGUAAAUACCCAGAUCUGUGUCUCUGGCUGCAGAGCUGUUGGAUGUUGGAUGCUGAGGGAGAAGGAUGCGUCGCAGCUCUGAGUGUUUUAUUUUUAGCAGAGAUGAAUUUGGAGAAAGAUUGGAGCCGUGUUUGAAUCCUGAUCCGCUUCUCCGUGUUUCACACACACUCUCUGAAACAGACUUGGACGCUUUUCCUGCAUUAAAUAGACUUGAUGGAAAUGACUCAUGGUGUGUAUCAGCGAUUGUUAUUCAGGGAAUCGGCCUCUGCUGAAGUUUGCACACACACAGUCAAACGUGCCUGACGAUGUCCACGGUGCUGAGCAGUCUUCAUCCAGGUCCUCUGCUGCACUUCAGACCCUCUGAUGCAGACGGAGACAGCUCUCUUCUUGAAUUUGAUCCUUUUACAUUUUCUUUAUUUUUUUGGAUCCAUGUGAAGACAGCGGUGCAAACAUCAGAUCAGACAGUGGAGGGGCCGCCCCCUCACUGUUAUCCUCAGCUCUCAUCAUGACAGGGACAUUUACGGCAUUAUAAACCCCAUAAUGUGUCCGACACAGCGCAGAGUAAAGACAUGAAAACAGAUUUUUAUUCCUUCAUGGAGGAGCUGAUUUAAUCUGUCUGAGAGUAAAACCAAUAAAGAUCCAAUCAUACAUCAAUAUCUGAUCAUUAUUAAGGGACACUGUUUUUUAAUUGGGUCUGUUCUCCUUUAGUCAUUUCCUCUGGGUUGUUUAGAGUUGCAGAUGCAGACCUUCGCUCGGGCUGAUCACAGUUAGAUUUCUGUCUGAGGUCUGAGGUCGCUCUUCAUAAUGAAGGAGUCAAACGCCAAUUGUUUUUUGAUGAACUCUGACCCCUCCAGGUGAGACUUUUGAAUGAACCAUCAGUAAUUCUGACCCCCCUCCCCAGAAUAAGCACAUGUGUCAGGAGGUUGAUUGAUGGUUGUAAUAAUAAUGGAGAUUUUCUAAAAGUGCUGAAAACUCAAACGUAGACGAACGAGGAGAAACGAGGUGUUGUGUGUGAGAUUAUCAGUGAGGUCAGCAGGGCUGGGCGAUAUGAGAAAAAGUUUAUCACAGUAUAUUUUUUUCAUAUCAGUCGAUAUCGAUAAAUAUCACGAUGUGAAAAAAUCACUUGUCAGUUUUAAAUGUCUCCUCUCGGGGUUUGUAACCUUUAGCGUUGCGUGUGCUCUGCGGCGUGGCGCUGCUUCAGGCGGUGAAAAAGAUUUGAGGUAUUCCCCGACUUUGUGAGAACAUGUACUCGACAUGAUUUACAGUCCACAUUACUCUGCUUCAUGUCCGACCUCCAAAAACCAAAAUACCUCCACACCACCGACGUUUUCCUAACGCCAGUGUUGGGUGUAGCUGCUGUCUGCUGCGACGCAGGAUUUUACUUGGUUCUGAUUCAGAUCAUGAUUGGUUCAGAGUGAAGCGGACCCAGAGAAACUCUCCUUUUCAUUGGCUAGGGGACGGCUGGUGAGAAAAUUAGUGGGUGGGGCUGAUGGUUUUUCAUCUCAUCAUCAGGACAUUAUAUCGACACUCAGCCGACCUACUUUAAUGUAAUCUAAUGAUAUAGAAACUGACUGUAGCGUUCUCUUACUCGUGCGCGUUCACCUGCAUCUCCACAGGUUAGGUUACAGCGAAGGAGCACAGAGAGAGACAACAGCAGAAGAAGAAUGAAGAGCAGACCCACAUUUACAACAAACCAGGCUGAACAUCAAACAACACAAACGUUUAAAUACACAACAGUUUUAUUACAGCUGAACAAAAACAGGGUUCACACUCUGUUAUAGAAAUCAUUUUCCAGGACUUUUCCAGGACGUUUCCAUCCUGCCUUAAAAGUUAUUGAUUUCUAACAUUAUGACAUGAACAUUGUCUGUUAGCCUUUUCUUAGUCUGGUUUAUUUUAGGUUUUUAUCUUUAUAUUCUCUACUUUUCUACAAACGGAUUUUGUUGACUGACUGUUUCAGGAGCUGAAAUUUUAAUUUUCCAUUUUUAUUGUUUCUUUUUGUCUCCAUUAAUUUACACGGGAAACAAAAAAGAGCCUUUCUCUUCAGACUUCCAGUUAGCCAUGCUUUGCGCCUCUACCCUGCUCUUGAAAAUGUCAGCGUAUAUAUUCUGCUCUUCUCAGUGGUCACUUGCUGAGCGGCGACGUCUGGUCUAUCUGGACCGAGCUCUUCCAGCUUUAGUUUGUCCUGCAGAGUUCUUCUCUCAAACGGGACCUACUUGAUGGACAGUGCAGCGUUCUCCGGUAAAUCACUCGGUAGGGGGUUUGCAGUCGCCAUUCCUACGUCUUCUGUCAUUAGCAGCCAAGUGCAGAGUGCAGUCAGAGUACUCCCAGUCAGACGCACAUUGUAGCUCUGAAUCUGUUUGUGGUCAAUCUGGUCAUGAACGUGUUUACGUCAUUUAAAUUAGGGACGUUUGGGCGCUCGUCUCUGGUGCCCCUAGUUAGAAUAAGCUAACUUUUUAAUGCAGAUCUGUGAUCUGAGCAUGUGUGAGACAACAGGCGUCUCGAUUCCACCGCAACACUGGGAAGAGAGAAAUACAUUUAAUGGAACGAUGAAUAUAAGAGCAGAUUUCCUUAUUUUGAGAAUAUUUUCAGGGAGACUCUCUUUUACACAGGCCACCACUGCAUUGGUAUAGUCGACCAAAACAUGGCAGAAUGCCGACUAUUGAAAAGGAUGUUGACCAUGUUUUAUAUUGAUAUUGAGGGACAUUAAUUUCUGAUAUAUAUCGUUAUCAUUUAAUCGCCCAGCCUGAACUCUUCAUGAUUUCCUUUAAUCAUCAUUUCCUCUGAAGCUGUUUCACAUCUUUCCUGUUAAAACCAACAGUGUGCUAACUGCGCUCCUCUUCACUCAUGAUGUUUGUCUGUAAAUCUUUUUUGGAGUAAAACAGAAAAACUCAGAGGUGUUCAGAUAUUUGGGGAUGUUGUUGAAAUCGGUCAGUUUUUAAAAGCUACAAUGAUCUCAGUCAGAUCUGCGGUUUUCUUGUUUCGUGUCUGAAGCGUUCAUAUUUCAUCAGCUGACUCUGGGAUUCUCACCUCCCUAAUACUCUGAGAGCUCCGGCUCUGUGGAGGUCCCAGAUGUUUUAUUAUGGAGAUAUUGGAGCUGCUGCUGCAGACAGGAUGAAGAACGCCCGGAGUCUUUCCUGUCUGCUUUUGGAGAAUCAGGAUCUUCUCAGUCAGGAGUUUAACAAACGCAGAGCUGAGAAUACAAAAGCAAAAGCUGCAGGGAGGUGUGCAGCAGGAGGAGGAGGAGGAGGAGGAGGAGGGAGGAAGAAGGAUGCACGAGUGUGACAUGUUUGGAAGGUGAGCUGCAGUUUGAGUCAUUCCUGGACGUUCAUCUGCUGCAGGUCUGAGAGGGAGAGCUGCAGCAUUGUGGUUCACCGUGGGGGGCCGAGGGAGAGAGAGGGAGGGGCAUUUAUGGCUCUAUUGUGGCUCAGAGGCUCAGAGUGACCUGAAGUAAGCAGGGGGUGGUGGCACAAACAGAGCCAGUGUGUGUGUGUGAGGAAACGGCGAGCGUGAUGGAGACGAGAUGGGAGUGAGAGAAAGGAGGACAUGAAGCGAAUCAGAGGGCAGAAGAGGAGAGAGGGUGAGACGGGAGCAGAGGGAUGAGGAGGAAGAGGAGAUGAUGAUGUCAGGGAUGAAGAUGACAGGAGGAGAACAGAGAGAUAGAGGGGAGGAGGAGGAGGAGGAGGUGGUCUGCGGUGGAUGCUGGUGUUUUUCUGUUAAGUGAAACGAUCGGUUUAUUCCUGACAUCUGUGCGGCGAGGGCGGCCACAUACUGCGCCCUGAGAGCCUCCUGUGAGGCCGCAGGAAGUGAGAGCGAGGGGGGGGGGUGGUUAGCUAAGACUGUCGAUAUUCAGGGUUAGAAACAAAAGGAGGAGGAGGAGAAACUAAAAAGAGAGGAGAGGGUGAGGAGGAGGAGGAGGCCCAUUAGAAAAGAUCGUCUGACAUGAUGGAGCUCAGUCACCUCAGAUCAAAACACUCAUUUUUUAACGUCAUUGAUAUUCUCUGAGUUUAUCCACACCUGUCCACCUGUCCACCUGUCCACCUGUCGGCUGUGUCAUUAACCGAGGGGGUGGGGUGGUCCUGACUUCAGAAACGCUCUAAAUGGAAAUAUGAGUCACUGUGAACGACAGCGGCAGGAAAGACUGUUGACUCAUGUACACUCAUCCUCAGACUCUGCUGUAGAUUCACACUGAACGUGAGCGUGUGUGUGUGUGUGUGUGUGUGUGUGUGUGUGUGUGUGUGUGUGUGUGUGAGAGGGACCAUAGGGGUGCGUCUGAAUCAGUCUGUAUGAAAACAGCUGUGAAUGUGGACGAUGAGUGAAAAAGAAAUAAACCACAGAGAGAGAGGCUCAGGUGAGUCACACCUGUGAGACUGAACGACAUUUUUAAUAAUAACAACAAUAAUAAUAAUAAUAAUAAUAAUAAAAAUAAUAAUAUUAAUAAUAAUGAUAAGAAUGAUAAUAAUAAUAAGAUAUGUUUGUGUGACAUAUGCAGAUGGCAAAAACAGUGGAAUAACUCUUUAACCGUGCGUCUGAGAAAAAUGUCCAAA
Non-coding RNA from Xyrichtys novacula (pearly razorfish), 4682 nucleotides. The record is from the annotation of a GenBank genome assembly. Lineage: Eukaryota; Metazoa; Chordata; Actinopteri; Labriformes; Labridae.